AUGCCAACCACCGCGACGGGGAAUGCGGAACUGCGGCGGCUGGGCCGACGCCUCCCCUCGCCCCUCUCUCUCCGGCGGCUCCCACCGCACCGGAGGCGGCGGCGCGCCAGGACUAGUGGGCCAAGCGGAGGCCUUUCCAGCACCAGGCCCAAUGCUGCUAGGGGCUUCUUAAGUCAUGCCUUGGGCGUACCGGACAGGCCCAGGCCCAGGCCCAAUGCUGCGAACUCGAGGUUGCCUACCGCCUCCUUUCAAAGGCGAAAGCUCGCGGGCGUCAUAUAUACAGCCUCCGCCUCACCGUCCUCUUCCUCGCCCUCUUCUUCACCCUUCCCGGAGCGAGAAGCUUGCGCGGGCAUCAUAUACAGCCCCCUUCCUCGGUGUGCUGAACCCUUCCUGGAGUGGAGAAAGACCAGGAAACAGAAAAUGGCUUGGAUGUCUGACCAGCCUUGCCGCUCCUACAUCAUUGAUGGAUCUUGCAAGUAUGGUUCAGACUGUUUGUUCUCUCAUGGACUUGACUUAUUUGGGAGGAUAGAGAUGCAAAUCAGGGCACUUCUGCAUGUGCCGGAUGUAUAUCAAGUUCCAGUAGAGCACUUGCCAUGGAGUCGCCCUGAGUUGGGCAUAAUGCUUCGGCAAGUGGGAUGGGAUGGGACUCUUGGUCACCUAAUGAGUUUGCUCGAGCGUCUUCAUACUAUUUGUGUGGUUUAUAACAGCUAUGGAUAUUAUGCAAUCCUGUUGGAGAAUGUUUCACACUACCUGGGUUACUUACCUUACAAUCCAAAUGUGAUGGAUGCUGAUAGUGAAGCUCACCAGAUUUAUAUUAACUUCUCUGCUCAAAGUAUAGAAAUAUGCACUGAAGAAAAUGUUCGUAUCUAUUUCAGCCAUUAUGGGGAAGUCUUGUCUGUAUAUAUUCCGCAUGAAAUGGCAUAUGGUUUUGUGAGAUUCCGGUACCCUGAGACAGUGAGGCUGCUUUUAUCAAACUGGAAUCCUCAGGUCCCUCACUUCAUCUUCGGAGCAGGGCUUUACGUGGGCCCCUAUAUCUCCUACAAUCGGAGGUACCCUGCUGUGAAUCAUGGGCUGAAUGAUCCGGAUGGAGGGCUAGAACAUAUGCCAAAUGCCGCGGGUGGAGUGGCAGGACAAGUGCCAGGUGUGCCGGAUGGAAACGCGGCACAACAAGAUAUGAACCCUGCUGGGAAUCAUGGGCCGAAUGUCCCGGAUGCAGGGCCUGGACAUGUGCCAAAUGCCCUGGGUGUACUGCCGGAUGAAGUGCUAGGUGUGCCGGUGGGAGACGCAGCACAACCAGAUAUGAACCCUGCUGGGAAUGGAGUGGCAGGACAAGUGCCAGUUGUUCCGGAUGGAGGCGCAGCACAAGAAGAUAUGGACGAGAUUGCUGCCGCUCUUCCAGAUGUCGACUGUUUCUACCAGGCAACCUGA
This 1428-nucleotide ribosomal RNA is filed under the name Triticum aestivum (bread wheat). RNAcentral describes it as "partial small subunit ribosomal RNA". Lineage: Eukaryota; Viridiplantae; Streptophyta; Magnoliopsida; Poales; Poaceae. The record is from RNAcentral.